UGGGCUGGUCGAAAGACCCAGGUCCAUCUACUGGCGAGGAAGUUCCUC
Molecule: non-coding RNA, 48 nt
Organism: Fibrobacter sp.
Lineage: Bacteria; Pseudomonadati; Fibrobacterota; Fibrobacteria; Fibrobacterales; Fibrobacteraceae
Source: Rfam